Molecule: ribosomal RNA, 468 nt
Filed under: uncultured bacterium
Lineage: Bacteria
Description: partial 16S ribosomal RNA
Rfam family: Bacterial small subunit ribosomal RNA
Source: RNAcentral
GACGAACGCUGGCGGCGUGCUUAACACAUGCAAGUCGAACGGACAGGCCCUGCUUUUGUUGGUUGCUCGAGUGGCGAACGGGUGAGUAACACGUGAGUAACCUGCCCUUGACUUUGGGAUAACUUCACGAAACUGGGGCUAAUACCGGAUAUGAGCUCCUGCUGCAUGGUGGGGGUUGGAAAGUUUCGGCGGUUGGGGAUGUACUCGCGGCUUAUCAGCUUGUUGGUGGGGUAGUGGCUUACCAAGGCUUUGACGGGUAGCCGGCCUGAGAGGGUGACCGGCGACAAUGGGACUGAGAUACGGAGCAGACUCCUACGGGAGGCAGCAGGGGGGAGUAUGGCACAAUGGGGGGAAGCCUGAUGCAGCAAUGCCGGGUGCGGGAUGACGGCCUUCGGGUGGUAAACCGAUUUCGACGGUGACGAAGCGGGAGUGACGGUAAUGGGUAAAGAAGCAACGGCUAACUACGUG